This 611-nucleotide long non-coding RNA is filed under the name Pan troglodytes (chimpanzee). Its description in RNAcentral is "long non-coding RNA NONPTRT015911". Lineage: Eukaryota; Metazoa; Chordata; Mammalia; Primates; Hominidae. The record is from RNAcentral.
UGGGAGUCUGUGCCAACUGCAAAUCUGACUUUACUUUUAAUUGCCUAUGAAAAUAAGGUCUCUCAUUUAUUUUCCUCUCCCUGCUUUCUUUCAGACUGUGGCUUUACCUCGGGUAAGUAAGCCCUUCCUUUUCCUCUCCCUCUCUCAUGGUUCUUGACCUAGAACCAAGGCAUGAAGAACUCACAGACACUGGAGGGUGGAGGGUGGGAGAGACCAGAGCUACCUGUGCACAGGUACCCACCUGUCCUUCCUCCGUGCCAACAGUGUCCUACCAGCAAGGGGUCCUGUCUGCCACCAUCCUCUAUGAGAUCCUGCUAGGGAAGGCCACCCUGUAUGCUGUGCUGGUCAGCGCCCUUGUGUUGAUGGCCAUGGUCAAGAGAAAGGAUUUCUGAAGGCAGCCCUGGAAGUGGAGUUAGGAGCUUCUAACCCGUCAUGGUUUCAAUACACAUUCUUCUUUUGCCAGCGCUUCUGAAGAGCUGCUCUCACCUGUCUGCAUCCCAAUAGAUAUCCCCCUAUGUGCAUGCACACCUGCACACUCACGGCUGAAAUCUCCCUAACCCAGGGGGACCUUAGCAUGCCUAAGUGACUAAACCAAUAAAAAUGUUCUGGUC